GACGAACGCUGGCGGCGUGCUUAACACAUGCAAGUCGAACGGAAAGGCCCUGCUUUUGUGGGGUGCUCGAGUGGCGAACGGGUGAGUAACACGUGAGUAACCUGCCCUUGACUUUGGGAUAACUUCAGGAAACUGGGGCUAAUACCGGAUAGGAGCUCCUGCUGCAUGGUGGGGGUUGGAAAGUUUCGGCGGUUGGGGAUGGACUCGCGGCUUAUCAGCUUGUUGGUGGGGUAGUGGCUUACCAAGGCUUUGACGGGUAGCCGGCCUGAGAGGGUGACCGGCCACAUUGGGACUGAGAUACGGCCCAGACUCCUACGGGAGGCAGCAGUGGGGAAUAUUGCACAAUGGGCGGAAGCCUGAUGCAGCAACGCCGCGUGCGGGAUGACGGCCUUCGGGUUGUAAACCGCUUUCGCCUGUGACGAAGCGUGAGUGACGGUAAUAGGUAGAGAAGCACCGGCUAACUACGUG
Molecule: ribosomal RNA, 468 nt
Filed under: uncultured bacterium
Lineage: Bacteria
Description: partial 16S ribosomal RNA
Rfam family: Bacterial small subunit ribosomal RNA
Source: RNAcentral